GAUGAACGCUGGCGGCGUGCCUAAUACAUGCAAGUCGAGCGAACAGACGAGGAGCUUGUUCCUCUGACGUUAGCCGCGCACGUGUGUGUAACACGUGGAUAACCUCCCUAUACGACUGGGAUAACUUCGGGAAGCCGGAUCUUAUACCGUAUUAUAUAUUGUUCCACAUGGUUCAAUUGUGAAAUACGGUUUUACUAUUACCUAUAGAUGCAUCGUCGCCUCAUUUGCUAGUUGGUAAGGUAACGGCUUACGAAGGCAACGAUGCGUAGCCGACCUGAGAGGGUGAUAGGCAACACUGGACCUGAGACACGGUCAAGACUCCUACGGGAGGAAGAAGUAGGGAAUCUUCCGCAAUGGGCGAAAGCCUGCCGGAGAAACGCCGCGUGAGUGAUGAAGGUCUUCGGAUCGUAAAACUCGGUUAUUAGGGAAGAACAAAUGUGUAAGUAAAUAUGCACGUCUUGACGGUACCUAAUCAGAAAGCCACGGCUAACUACGUG
This 497-nucleotide ribosomal RNA is filed under the name uncultured bacterium. RNAcentral describes it as "partial 16S ribosomal RNA". It matches the Rfam family "Bacterial small subunit ribosomal RNA", at positions 28 to 507 of the family's 1533-position model. The record is from RNAcentral.